UACGUAGGGGCCAAGCGUUGUCCGGAUUUAUUGGGCGUAAAGAGCUCGUAGGCGGUUCGGCAAGUCGACGGUGAAAUCUCCACGCUCAACGUGGCGGGGUCCGUCGAUACUGCUGUGACUCGAGUCCGGUAGGGGAGUGUGGAAUUCCCGGUGUAGCGGUGAAAUGCGCAGAGAUCGGGAGGAACACCCGUAGCGAAGGCGGCACUCUGGGCCGGUACUGACGCUGAGGAGCGAAGGCGUGGGGAGCGAACAGG
RNAcentral lists this ribosomal RNA (254 nucleotides) under uncultured bacterium. Its description in RNAcentral is "partial 16S ribosomal RNA". It matches the Rfam family "Bacterial small subunit ribosomal RNA", at positions 524 to 776 of the family's 1533-position model. The record is from RNAcentral.